AUUGAACGCUGGCGGCAUGCCUUACACAUGCAAGUCGAACGGCAGCACGGGGCAACCUGGUGGCGAGUGGCGAACGGGUGAGUAAUGCAUCGGAACGUGCCAUUGAGUGGGGGAUAACGUAGCGAAAGUUGCGCUAAUACCGCAUAUUCUGUGAGCAGGAAAGCAGGGGACCGCAAGGCCUUGCGCUCUUUGAGCGGCCGAUGUCAGAUUAGCUAGUUGGUGAGGUAACGGCUUACCAAGGCGACGAUCUGUAGCGGGUCUGAGAGGAUGAUCCGCCACACUGGAACUGAGACACGGUCCAGACUCCUACGGGAGGCAGCAGUGGGGAAUUUUGGACAAUGGGCGCAAGCCUGAUCCAGCCAUGCCGCGUGAGUGAAGAAGGCCUGGUGUAAG
RNAcentral lists this ribosomal RNA (393 nucleotides) under uncultured bacterium. RNAcentral describes it as "bacterial SSU rRNA". It matches the Rfam family "Bacterial small subunit ribosomal RNA", at positions 30 to 429 of the family's 1533-position model. The record is from RNAcentral.